Molecule: ribosomal RNA, 2346 nt
Filed under: Staphylococcus aureus
Lineage: Bacteria; Bacillati; Bacillota; Bacilli; Caryophanales; Staphylococcaceae
Description: partial 23S ribosomal RNA
Rfam family: Bacterial large subunit ribosomal RNA
Source: RNAcentral
GGUGAAAAGCACCCCGGAAGGGGAGUGAAAUAGAACCUGAAACCGUGUGCUUACAAGUAGUCAGAGCCCGUUAAUGGGUGAUGGCGUGCCUUUUGUAGAAUGAACCGGCGAGUUACGAUUUGAUGCAAGGUUAAGCAGUAAAUGUGGAGCCGUAGCGAAAGCGAGUCUGAAUAGGGCGUUUAGUAUUUGGUCGUAGACCCGAAACCAGGUGAUCUACCCUUGGUCAGGUUGAAGUUCAGGUAACACUGAAUGGAGGACCGAACCGACUUACGUUGAAAAGUGAGCGGAUGAACUGAGGGUAGCGGAGAAAUUCCAAUCGAACCUGGAGAUAGCUGGUUCUCUCCGAAAUAGCUUUAGGGCUAGCCUCAAGUGAUGAUUAUUGGAGGUAGAGCACUGUUUGGACGAGGGGCCCCUCUCGGGUUACCGAAUUCAGACAAACUCCGAAUGCCAAUUAAUUUAACUUGGGAGUCAGAACAUGGGUGAUAAGGUCCGUGUUCGAAAGGGAAACAGCCCAGACCACCAGCUAAGGUCCCAAAAUAUAUGUUAAGUGGAAAAGGAUGUGGCGUUGCCCAGACAACUAGGAUGUUGGCUUAGAAGCAGCCAUCAUUUAAAGAGUGCGUAAUAGCUCACUAGUCGAGUGACACUGCGCCGAAAAUGUACCGGGGCUAAACAUAUUACCGAAGCUGUGGAUUGUCCUUUGGACAAUGGUAGGAGAGCGUUCUAAGGGCGUUGAAGCAUGAUCGUAAGGACAUGUGGAGCGCUUAGAAGUGAGAAUGCCGGUGUGAGUAGCGAAAGACGGGUGAGAAUCCCGUCCACCGAUUGACUAAGGUUUCCAGAGGAAGGCUCGUCCGCUCUGGGUUAGUCGGGUCCUAAGCUGAGGCCGACAGGCGUAGGCGAUGGAUAACAGGUUGAUAUUCCUGUACCACCUAUAAUCGUUUUAAUCGAUGGGGGGACGCAGUAGGAUAGGCGAAGCGUGCGAUUGGAUUGCACGUCUAAGCAGUAAGGCUGAGUAUUAGGCAAAUCCGGUACUCAUUAAGGCUGAGCUGUGAUGGGGAGAAGACAUUGUGUCUUCGAGUCGUUGAUUUCACACUGCCGAGAAAAGCCUCUAGAUAGAAAAUAGGUGCCCGUACCGCAAACCGACACAGGUAGUCAAGAUGAGAAUUCUAAGGUGAGCGAGCGAACUCUCGUUAAGGAACUCGGCAAAAUGACCCCGUAACUUCGGGAGAAGGGGUGCUCUUUAGGGUUAACGCCCAGAAGAGCCGCAGUGAAUAGGCCCAAGCGACUGUUUAUCAAAAACACAGGUCUCUGCUAAACCGUAAGGUGAUGUAUAGGGGCUGACGCCUGCCCGGUGCUGGAAGGUUAAGAGGAGUGGUUAGCUUCUGCGAAGCUACGAAUCGAAGCCCCAGUAAACGGCGGCCGUAACUAUAACGGUCCUAAGGUAGCGAAAUUCCUUGUCGGGUAAGUUCCGACCCGCACGAAAGGCGUAACGAUUUGGGCACUGUCUCAACGAGAGACUCGGUGAAAUCAUAGUACCUGUGAAGAUGCAGGUUACCCGCGACAGGACGGAAAGACCCCGUGGAGCUUUACUGUAGCCUGAUAUUGAAAUUCGGCACAGCUUGUACAGGAUAGGUAGGAGCCUUUGAAACGUGAGCGCUAGCUUACGUGGAGGCGCUGGUGGGAUACUACCCUAGCUGUGUUGGCUUUCUAACCCGCACCACUUAUCGUGGUGGGAGACAGUGUCAGGCGGGCAGUUUGACUGGGGCGGUCGCCUCCUAAAAGGUAACGGAGGCGCUCAAAGGUUCCCUCAGAAUGGUUGGAAAUCAUUCAUAGAGUGUAAAGGCAUAAGGGAGCUUGACUGCGAGACCUACAAGUCGAGCAGGGUCGAAAGACGGACUUAGUGAUCCGGUGGUUCCGCAUGGAAGGGCCAUCGCUCAACGGAUAAAAGCUACCCCGGGGAUAACAGGCUUAUCUCCCCCAAGAGUUCACAUCGACGGGGAGGUUUGGCACCUCGAUGUCGGCUCAUCGCAUCCUGGGGCUGUAGUCGGUCCCAAGGGUUGGGCUGUUCGCCCAUUAAAGCGGUACGCGAGCUGGGUUCAGAACGUCGUGAGACAGUUCGGUCCCUAUCCGUCGUGGGCGUAGGAAAUUUGAGAGGAGCUGUCCUUAGUACGAGAGGACCGGGAUGGACAUACCUCUGGUGUACCAGUUGUCGUGCCAACGGCAUAGCUGGGUAGCUAUGUGUGGACGGGAUAAGUGCUGAAAGCAUCUAAGCAUGAAGCCCCCCUCAAGAUGAGAUUUCCCAACUUCGGUUAUAAGAUCCCUCAAAGAUGAUGAGGUUAAUAGGUUCGA